This 992-nucleotide long non-coding RNA is filed under the name Cercocebus atys (sooty mangabey). RNAcentral describes it as "lncRNA (ENSCATG00000045566.1)". The record is from RNAcentral. Lineage: Eukaryota; Metazoa; Chordata; Mammalia; Primates; Cercopithecidae.
GUCAAUGUUUGUGUGUGUGAUUUUUGUUUUAAUUGUUUUUGUUUUUAUUCUCAAAUGAAAGUACCCUGCCAGUAAUCAUUGGUGUUUUGGGAAGACAGCCGGAAGCAGUGCCGUCUCCGUACCUUGGAGUGAAUGGGCUUUAUGUCCAGGCAGCCAUCUGUGGAAGUGGGAGCCUGGAGCCAGAUCUUGAAGCUACCUGUGCAUGCUAGAGUCAUUUGUGGCUUGCCCCGGAGUUCCUUCUUCACCUCUCAUCCAGAUUUGGCUUUGUCUGCCCUUCUACUUUUGGAACAGCCACUUCCUCUAACCAGGCCCAUGUUGCUUCCACCGGGGAUGCUAGACCUGCAAUUGUUUGAAGAAACUCCACACCUGAUCUCCAACUGACAGGAGGAGGGCUUUAUCAGAAUGUCUGAGAGGGAGAGACAGAGAUUCUGCUCCCUCCAUCUCGUUAGCCCUUGCUGAGCCAGAACAUGAUUUGAAGCAGAAAUGGAAGGAAAAGCAGUUCUUGCAAUGCCACAGAGACAGAGUGCGCUACCCCAUCAGACCAUAAGUUGGACAUUCCAUGGCGUCACAAAAACUAAUUAAUACUAAAGUUAGUACUUACUCUGCCUUUCUUAUUUUCCCAGGAGGAUUAUUGUGAAUAGGCUUGCCUUCUAGACCACUCAGAAUUUGUAUGUUGACAAAAUAUUUCUCCUUUUGACAUGUGAGGAGAUAUAAAAUGUAUGAAAACUCACAUCAUAUUAUUUGACGGGGCAUUCCAUUUCGUCAGUUUGUAUUUUAUACUUCAUUAUUUUAGGGGUAAACAUCUAUAAAAACAGGUUCUGGAUUGUCGCUAGGGUUUGGUUCAUGCUUAGAGUUUUCUUAACAGCGUUCCUGUUGUUGUAUAGCUUUAAAAUUAGAUGAGAACAAAAGUUUCACUCUGAAGCCAGAACAACAUGGAACCUGUAUUUUGGAUUAAAUUGCUUAAAAGAAUAAUCCCCACUUUCUUUUUUUUC